ACUCCUACGGGAGGCUGCAGUAGGGAAUAUUGGUCAAUGGGCGAGGGCCUGAACCAGCCAUGCCGCGUGCAGGAAGACGGCCUUCUGGGUUGUAAACUGCUUUUGGCCGGGAACAAAAAGCCCCUGCGGGGGAAAUUGAGUGUACCGGCAGAAUAAGCACCGGCUAACUCCGUGCCAGCAGCCGCGGUAAUACGGAGGGUGCAAGCGUUGUCCGGAUUUAUUGGGUUUAAAGGGUGCGUAGGCGGGCCAAUAAGUCAGUGGUGAAAGCCCACAGCUCAACUGUGGAACCGCCAUUGAUACUGUUGGCCUUGAGUACCGUUGGGGCAGGCGGAAUUUAUGGUGUAGCGGUGAAAUGCAUAGAUACCAUAAAGAACACCGAUAGCGUAGGCAGCUUGCUAAACGGUAACUGACGCUGAGGCACGAAAGCAUGGGGAGCGAACAGGAUUAGAUACCCUGGUAGUCCAUGCCGUAAACGAUGAUUACCCGAUGUGCGCGAUACACUGUGCGCGUCCAAGCGAA
RNAcentral lists this ribosomal RNA (519 nucleotides) under uncultured bacterium. RNAcentral describes it as "bacterial SSU rRNA". It matches the Rfam family "Bacterial small subunit ribosomal RNA", at positions 335 to 855 of the family's 1533-position model. The record is from RNAcentral.